CGUCGACCGGCGCACGGGUGAGUAACGCGUAUGCAAUCUACCUUUUACCCGGGGAUAGCCCAUGGAAACGUGGAUUAAUACCCGAUGCAUUUCUUUUGUGUCCUCAUUAAAGAAAUAAAGAUUCAUCGGUAAGAGAUGAGCAUGCGUUCCAUUAGGAAGUUGGUAAGGUAACGGCUUACCAAUCCGAUGAUGGAUAGGGGUUCUGAGAGGAAGGUCCCCCACACUGGAAUUGAGAUACGGUCCAGACUCC
RNAcentral lists this ribosomal RNA (250 nucleotides) under uncultured Odoribacter sp. Its description in RNAcentral is "partial 16S ribosomal RNA". It matches the Rfam family "Bacterial small subunit ribosomal RNA", at positions 89 to 339 of the family's 1533-position model. Lineage: Bacteria; Pseudomonadati; Bacteroidota; Bacteroidia; Bacteroidales; Odoribacteraceae. The record is from RNAcentral.